GACGAACGCUGGCGGCGUGCUUAACACAUGCAAGUCGAACGAUGAAGCUAGAGCUUGCUCUGGUGAAUUAGUGGCGAACGGGUGAGUAACACGUGAGUAACCUGCCCCGAACUCUGGGAUAACUGCUGGAAACGGUAGCUAAUACUGGAUACGACCUACGAAGGCAUCUUCUGAAGGUGGAAAGAAUUUCGGUUCGGGAUGGACUCAGGGCCUAUCAGCUUGUUGGUGAGGUAAUGGCUCACCAAGGCGACGACGGGUAGCCGGCCUGAGAGGGUGACCGGCCACACUGGGACUGAGACACGGCCCAGACUCCUACGGGAGGCAGCAGUGGGGAAUAUUGCACAAUGGGCGCAAGCCUGAUGCAGCAACGCUGCGUGAGGGAUGACGGCCUUCGGGUUGUAAACCUCUUUUAGUAGGGAAGAAGCGAAAGUGACGGUACCUGCAGAAAAAGCACCGGCUAACUACGUGCCAGCAGCCGCAGUAA
This 484-nucleotide ribosomal RNA is filed under the name uncultured bacterium. Its description in RNAcentral is "partial 16S ribosomal RNA". It matches the Rfam family "Bacterial small subunit ribosomal RNA", at positions 28 to 523 of the family's 1533-position model. The record is from RNAcentral.